GUCGAACGGAGAACAUUGAGCUUGCUUAAUGUUCUUAGUGGCGGACGGGUCAGUUACACGUGAGUAACCUGCCUCUGAGAGUGGGAUAGCUUCUGGAAACGGAUGGUAAUACCGCAUAACAUCAUGGAUUCGCAUGUUUCUAUGAUCAAAGAUUUAUCGCUUAGAGAUGGACUCGCGUCUGAUUAGCUAGUUGGUAAGGUAACGGCUUACCAAGGCGACGAUCAGUAGCCGGACUGAGAGGUUGAUCGGCCACAUUGGGACUGAGACACGGCCCAGACUCCUACGGGAGGCAGCAGUGGGGAAUAUUGCACAAUGGGGGAAACCCUGAUGCAGCGAUGCCGCGUGGAGGAAGAAGGUUUUCGGAUUGUAAACUCCUGUUGAAGAGGACGAUAAUGACGGUACUCUUUUAGAAAGCUCCGGCUAACUACGUGCCAGCAGCCGCGGUAAUACGUAGGGAGCGAGCGUUGUCCGGAAUUACUGGGUGUAAAGGGAGCGUAGGCGGGAUGGCAAGUCAGAUGUGAAAACUAUGGGCUCAACCCAUAGACUGCAUUUGAAACUGUUGUUCUUGAGUGAGGUAGAGGUAAGCGGAAUUCCUGGUGUAGCGGUGAAAUGCGUAGAGAUCAGGAGGAACAUCGGUGGCGAAGGCGGCUUACUGGGCCUUUACUGACGCUGAGGCUCGAAAGCGUGGGGAGCAAACAGGAUUAGAUACCCUGGUAGUCCACGCCGUAAACGAUGAUUACUAGGUGUGGGGGGACUGACCCCUUC
Molecule: ribosomal RNA, 765 nt
Filed under: uncultured bacterium
Lineage: Bacteria
Description: bacterial SSU rRNA
Rfam family: Bacterial small subunit ribosomal RNA
Source: RNAcentral